CUGGGAAAUGAGGGGCUAGGAUGGAACCAAAGGGCUUGAGGAUGUUCAAGGGACACCUGAGAUGGUCUCUGGGGUGCAUCAGGGGCAAUGGAGCAGAGGAGAUUUUGCAGAAUGCCAGCUGAAAACCUUGGUCCUGGUUUUCUGCGGAAUGCAGGUUCCUCAGCUCUCAGCUGAAGCCAAUGCCUUCUGUUUUCUGGCAGCUUGGAUCCUUCUUUUAGCUGACUGAUGUAUCCUGUGUCUGAAGUGCCAACGCCCUCCAGAGACUGAAGCCCCCCUUCCUUCACCUGAGAUCUGCUGUCCAAAGCAGCAUGCUGUGCUAUGCCAAUCCAGUGCCUUGUCAGCAUGGCAGACAGCUGUAGUUAGAACACAAGGCUUUUGUGCUCCUCCCGCCCCCUCGUCUCUCAGGUUUUAUUCCACUCCUUUGAGCAGUGGACACGUUCCUGCCAGUCUCAGUGUUUUAAUUUAAUUUGGGCACAGACUAUAUAAAAUUGAACAGAUGUCUGAAAGCAGUGAAGAGAAGACCAUAAAAUGAACCACGUGCUCAGCUUCACUCGAACCAAGCAAUGCUGUAUUAUUAUUUUUUUUUUGUCCCCAUUGCCACAAAGAUCACAUGUGGGCUGGAGCUGUGUGGCAAGAGGAUCCAACAUGGGGAGAGAGGUAUUGUUUGCAGAGACCUAAAACUGGAAAGCAUUUUAGUUAAAAGCAGUGACAUCAAUGAAAUAAAUGAAGUGAAAGUAAACAUAAAGACUUGUGCAUCUUUAUACAAUCUCGUGCUCAUUUUAAGGAACAUCAUUGUGGAUUUCUCUGUACCCUUCAGUUUGGGGCAUUGUGUGCCUUUCUUCCUGAAAAUACCAGAGUUUCAGUUAACUCACCUGCAGCCACAUAAUUGCUCCAGCUGA
Ficedula albicollis (Collared flycatcher) is the source of this 899-nucleotide long non-coding RNA. The record is from Ensembl. NCBI's taxonomy places the organism in Eukaryota, Metazoa, Chordata, Aves, Passeriformes, Muscicapidae.